GUGAGCAACCUGCCCUGGACUCUGGGAUAAGCGCUGGAAACGGCGUCUAAUACUGGAUAUGAGCCCCUAUCGCAUGGUGGGGGUUGGAAAGAUUUUUUGGUCUGGGAUGGGCUCGCGGCCUAUCAGCUUGUUGGUGAGGUAAUGGCUCACCAAGGCGUCGACGGGUAGCCGGCCUGAGAGGGUGACCGGCCACACUGGGACUGAGACACGGCCCAGACUCCUACGGGAGGCAGCAGUGGGGAAUAUUGCACAAUGGGCGAAAGCCUGAUGCAGCAACGCCGCGUGAGGGAUGACGGCCUUCGGGUUGUAAACCUCUUUUACCAGGGAAAAACCGAAAGUGACGGUACCUGCAAAAAAAGCCCCGGCUAACUACUUGCCACCACCCGCGGUAUUACUUAGGGCGCAAGCGUUAUC
RNAcentral lists this ribosomal RNA (414 nucleotides) under Microbacterium sp. F244. Its description in RNAcentral is "bacterial SSU rRNA". It matches the Rfam family "Bacterial small subunit ribosomal RNA", at positions 117 to 545 of the family's 1533-position model. Lineage: Bacteria; Bacillati; Actinomycetota; Actinomycetes; Micrococcales; Microbacteriaceae. The record is from RNAcentral.